This 273-nucleotide ribosomal RNA is filed under the name Ixodes persulcatus (taiga tick). Its description in RNAcentral is "partial large subunit ribosomal RNA". The record is from RNAcentral. Lineage: Eukaryota; Metazoa; Arthropoda; Arachnida; Ixodida; Ixodidae.
UAUACAAAGGUAUUGAAAUAAGAUUUUAAAUGAGUGCUAAGAGRAUGAUUGAACAAUUAUAGGCUUUCUUUAGUUAAAUAAUUAAAUUUAAUUUUUUUAGUGCAAAAGCAAAAAUUAAAUUUAGGGACAAGAAGACCCUAUGAAUUUUAAUUUAAUUUAUAAUUUGAAAUUUUAAAUUAAAUUUGAUUGGGGCGAUGGAAAAAGAAUGAGUAUCUUUUUUAGUUWUAAAAAUUGGUUCCGUUUUWAACGAUUAAAUGAGAAAAAUACUCUAGG